GGACAAAAAUAAAAAGUUAUAAGACUUUUAAAUAUGUGGAUUUUAGGGUUAUCUUUGGCGCCCCCUAGAACCUAAACCUUGGGGUGCAGCGUCAUGAUUUUGAUAACUUUUAAUGGCCACGGGGUGUAGAUUGGCCUGAGCAAAUGUGGUGCCGGUGGAACGAAAGCCUUCGGAGGAGUUAGCGAAAUUCCAAUGUGUGCGGAUCGGCAAAAAAUGCGUAAUAACCCUUUAACCGUACAUUUGACAGAUACGCCCGCACCGACUUUUUUGUAGAUCUUAUUGAGAUACAUGUGUGUGUCAAUUUUUGUGUCAUUUUGACAAAGCGUACAGUCGUGACAGUGAAUAGUGUGAAUUUUCACCUUAGGGGGCGCUAUGGAGCCAUUUUGCAUUUUAUUGUUUUGGCGACUUCAGAAUAUCAAAUUUUUCACCAGGCCCGGUCGUCCUGCCAAAUUUCAUGAGUUUUCGCCAGUGGGAAGGGGGCCAUUUUCCAGUUCAAAGGGGAGGAAAAAGAAAAAAGAAAGAAAGAAACAAAGAAAAACCACUUGGGGAAUAAUAGGGCCUACGCCCGGCUGCUCUGCAGCUGGCUCGGGCCCUAAUAAUAACAAAAGAAGGAAACAUGCAGGAACAAGAGGGCUCUCGCAGCUGCUUAGCAGCUACGCUCGGGCCCUAACUAGGGCCCCGUUGGGGCACUGGCGGGCCCGAGCCGUGUCGCGCUGCCCCCCCCAACGCGCUGCCUCCCCGUCCCAUUCGCGUCCUCUGGCCAUCGUCCUCUCUGGUAACGCCCAUCACUGCAAAGACCCUUUCCUUCAUCGGCGUUUGCUGUUCUUCCUGCCAGUGCGUGUUGCUUUCACUUACACUUGCCACAGCCAGCCUCGUGAGUGCCUAGCCUAUUGGAUAUCACUGUCAUCUACACAGGACAGUCAUAACCUUUCUAUUAAUACUUUGUUUUUUAAUUUCACAUUAAUUUCCAUAUUGUAUAAAUGACUGGAAAAAACUUGAGCCCCUGCCCCUGUAUAAUCAUGUGCACGUCCCUGUUCUAGCUCCAAGGUGAAUCUUCACUGCUCAUGUUCUCCUCAGAAAUAGUCACCUCACUCCCCUCAGGUUACUGUACACAUGCACCAACUAUCUGCUUCAGGUUUGGAUGGAGCUUCAUGGUUGUCUUUUGGAGAAAUGACCAGUCAAGUUGUGUUUGAAAUUUGAUUUUUUUCAGGGGCAAAAGGAAGCCUCUGCAUUCUUGUCAAAUAUGUAAACAGCAUGUUUUUGCAGGUGCUAAAAAACAGACUCUGAGUGUGUGUGUGUGUGUGUGUGUGUGUGUGUGUGUGUGUGUGUGUGCGUGUGUGUACAUGUGUGUGUAUCCUGCAGUACUCUGUACUCCUGCAGUGGCCAAAAAGACUUUUAAGAAUGUGGAUUUUUGGGUCAUCUUUGGCGCCCCCUAGAACUGCAGUACUCUGUACUCCUGCAGUGGCCAAAAUGACUUUUAAGAAUGUGGAUUUUUGGGUCAUCUUUGGCGCCCCCUAGAACGUAAACCGUGGGGUGCAGCGUCAUGAUUUUUACAACUUUGAAUGGGCAUGGGGUGUAGAUUGCCCUGAGCAAAUUUGGUAUCAGUGGGACGAAAGCCUUAGGAGGAGAUAGCCACAUUCCAAUGUGUGCGAAUCGGCAAAAAAUGCGAAAUAGCCCUUUAACCGUACAUUAUACAGAUACGCGCUCUUUGACUUUUUCGUAGAUCUAAUUGAGAUACACAUGAUUGUCAAUUUUUGUGUCAAUAUGACAAAGCGUUCAGGCGUGACACUCAACAAUGUGUAUUUUCAUGUAAGGGGACAAGAAAAAAUUGACUUUUUUCUCCUGCCAUGGGGGGGCGCUCUUUUGGGGAGUAAAAAUUCCUUCACAAAUGUGUUGAUGGCUGGACAUUGCAUCAUCCUAGAAAACUUGGAGGGCAGUGAGGACAAAAAUAAAAAGUUAUAAGACUUUUAAGAAUGUGGAUUUUUGGGUUAUCUUUGGCGCCCCCUAGAACCUAAACCGUGGGGUGCAGCGUCAUGAUUUGUACAACUUUUAAUGGCCAUGGGGUGUAGACUGGCCUGAGCAAAUGUGGUGCCGGUGGAACGAAAGCCUUCGGAGGAGUUAGCGAAAUUCCAAUGUGUGCGGAUCGGCAAAAAAUGCGAAAUAACCCUUUAACCGUACAUUUGACAGAUACGCCCGCACUGACUUUUUUGUAGAUCUUAUUGAGAUACAUAUGUGUGUCAAUUUUUGUGUCAAUAUGACAAAACGUACAGACGUGACAGUCAACAAUGUGUAUUUUCACCUUAGGGGACAAGAAAAAAUGGACUUUUUUCUCCUGCCAUGGGGGGGCGCUCUUUUGGGGAGUAAAAAUUCCUUCACAAAUGUGUUACUGGCUGGACAUUGCAUCAUCCUAGAAAACUUGGAGGCCAGUGAGGACAAAAAUAAAAAGUUAUAAGACUUUUAAAUAUGUGGAUUUUAGUGUUAUCUUUGGCGCCCCCUAGAACCUAAACCUUGGGGUGCAGCGUCAUGAUUUUGAUAACUUUUAAUGGCCACGGGGUGUAGAUUGGCCUGAGCAAAUGUGGUGCCGGUGGAACGAAAGCCUUCGGAGGAGUUAGCGAAAUUCCAAUGUGUGCGGAUCGGCAAAAAAUGCGUAAUAACCCUUUAACCGUAAUUUUGACAGAUACGGCCGCACUGACUUUUUUGUACAUCUUAUUGAGAUACAUAUGUGUGUCAAUUUUUGUGUCAAUAUGACAAAGCGUACAGGCGUGACAGUCAAUAGUGUGAAUUUCCACCUUAGGGGGCGCUAUGUAGCCAUUUUGCAUUUUAUUGUUUGGGCGACUUCAGAAUAUCGAAUUUUUCACCAGGCCCGGUCGUCCUGCCAAAUCUCAUGAGUUUUCGCCAGUGGGAAGUGGGCCAUUUUCCAGUUCAAAGGGGAGGAAAAAGAAGAAAGAAAGAAAGAAAGAAACAAAGAAAAACCACUUGGGGAAUAAUAGGGCUCUCGCAGCUGCUUAGCAGCUACGCUCGGGCCCUAAGAAAGAAAGAAAGAAAGAAAGAAACAAAGAAAAACCACUUGGGGAAUAAUAGGGCUCUCGCAGCUGCUUAGCAGCUACGCUCGGGCCCUAAAGAAACAAAGAAAAACCACUUGGGGAAUAAUAGGGCUCUCGCAGCUGCUUAGCAGCUACGCUCGGGCCCUAAUAAUAAUAACACUAGGGCCCCGGUGGGGCACUGUCGGGCCCGAGCCGCGUCGCGCCGCCCCUAGUGCGACCGCCUCCCCCUCCCGAUCGCGUCACACUCAAGGUCCAAAGAUGGUGUGCGCACUUGUCUGUGGUCAUUUCCCAUUAUAAUGAAUGGGAGGCGCAGUUUCUACCAAAACACUCGCUGCAGACAAACUUCAUGUCCUAUUUGAAAAAAGUCUGGACCAUGAGUGAGGGCACAAACACAGCUAUGAUAUAUCGAAAUGGCAGGUUGCUCCUCCUUACGGUGUUGCCUGGAGAGCGAUGCGAUUGAGCCAUUGAGCAAUGGGCAGGGUUAACUUGACUUUUUCUCCUGCCUUGGGGGGGGAUGUGGAUUCCUUUAAGAAUGUGGAUUUUUGGGUCAUCUUUGGCGCCCCCUAGAACGUAAACCGUGGAGUGCAGCGUCAUGAUUUUUACAACUUUGAAUGGCCAUGGGGUGUAGAUUGGCCUGAGCAAAUUUGGUGUCAGUGGGACGAAAGCCUUAGGAGGAGUUAGCCACAUUCCAAUGUGUGCGAAUCGGCAAAAAAUGCAAAAUAGCCCUUUAACCGUACAUUUGACAGAUACGCGCGCAUUGACUUUUUUGUAGAUCUUAUUGAGAUACAUAUGUGUGUCAAUUUUUGUGUCAAUAUGAUAAAGCGUACAGGCGUGACAGUCAAUAGUGUGAAUUACCACCUUAGGGGACAAGAAAAAAUUGGACUUUUUUCUCCUGCCAUGGGGGGGCGCUCUUUUGGGGAGUAAAAAUUCCUUCACAAAUGUGUUGAUGGCUGGACAUUGCAUCAUCCUAGAAAACUUGGAGGCCAGUGAGGACAAAAAUAAAAAGUUAUAAGACUUUUAAAUAUGUGGAUUUUAGUGUUAUCUUUGGCGCCCCCUAGAACCUAAACCGUGGGGUGCAGCGUCAUGAUUUGAAUAACUUUUAAUGGCCAUGGGGUGUAGAUUGGCCUGAGCAAAUGUGGUGCCGGUGGAACGAAAGCCUUAGGAGGAGUUAGCGAAAUUCCAAUGUGUGCGGAUCGGCAAAAAAUGCGGAAUAACCCUUUAACCGUACAUUUGACAGAUACGCACGCAUUGACUUUUUCGUAGAUCUUAUUGAGAUACAUGUGUGUGUCAAUUUUUGUGUCAUUUUGCCAAAGCGUACACGCGUGACAGUCAAUAGUGUGAAUUUUCACCUUAGGGGGCGCUAUGGAGCCAUUUUGCAUUUUCUUGUUUGGGCGACUUCGGAAUAUCAAAUUUUUCACCAGGCCCGGUCGUCCUGCCAAAUUUCAUGAGUUUUCGCCAGUGGGAAGUGGGCCAUUUUCCAGUUCAAAGGGGAGGAAAAAUAAUAACUAGGACCCCGUUGGGGCACUGGCGGGCCCGAGCUGUGCCGCGUCCCCCCCCCAACGCGCUGCCUCCCCGUCCCAUUUGUGUCCUCUGGCCAUCGCCCUCUCUGGUAACGCCCAUCACUGCAAAGACCCUUUUCCUUCAUCGGCGUUUGCUGUUCUUCCUGCCAGUGCGUGUUGCUUUCACUUACACUUGCCACAGCCAGCCUCGUGAGUGCCUAGCCUAUUGGAUAUCACUGUCACCUACACAGGACAGUCAUUACCUUUCUAUUAAUACUUUGUUUUUUAAUUUCACAUUAAUUUCCAUAUUGUAUAAACAACUGGAAAAAACUUGAGCCCCUGCCCCUGUAUAAUCAUGUGCACGUCUCUGUUCUAGCUCUAAGGUGAAUCUUCACUGCUCAUGUUCUCCUCAGAAGCAGUCACCUCACUCCCCUCAGGUUACUGUGCACAUGCACCAACUGCCUGCUUCAGGUUUGGAUGGAGCUUCAUGGUUGUCUUUUGGAGAAAUGACCAGUCAAGUUGUGUUUGAAAUUUGAUUUUUUUCAGGGGCAAAAGGAGCCUCUGCAUUCUUGUCAAAUAUGUAAAUAGCAUGUUUUUGCAGGUGCUAAAAACCAGACUCUGAGUGUGUGUGUGUGUGUGUGUGCGUGUGUGUGUGUGUCUGUGUGUGCGUUCAAGUCACAUGACAUAUUUAACCGGAUGUAGCUGCAAGACGGAGCCUCGUUGACUCUCCGUUUCAACUUAUCUCAAAAGUGAGGACCUCAACCUAUAUACCAGUUUUUAAAUUGUGUUGAUAGGCCAAAUAAAACCAGAGUUAUGAUAAAUUAUGUCCGCGAUACUUGUUUUCUGCUUAUUUUGAUCACGUUCGGCGCUCGAUCGCGCUGUAUGAGACAGGAAAACAUAGCAUGCAGACAUUAGCGACAGGUCUUACAGGCGGAAAAGGCUUGCCAAAGGAAAAAAAAAAACACACCACAACAUCUCUCCUAUUGGUGGAAAACUUCACCACAACAACCAAUCCAAAAUUAUAUGGUGACUGAUUGACAAGGGGCGGGCGCUUACGUUCUUCCUGCAAUAUGAGAAGGGAGGGAGGGACUCUCAGCAGGGAUGCAGUCUGGGACACGUAGUUGCAAACCUAGCGACUUUGUUGUUAGAUUCAAUGACUUUUCAGACCCCCUAACGACUUUUUUUUUAGAAAGAAAGGGACUUUUAUCGACUUCUUCUGGAGUUUUGAGACUCUGACAUGAAGCAGGCUUUCCUUACUGAGGAGUUAGCAACGCUGCUAAGGGUGCAGAGCCACACAUGCGCUCCGAGCUCUGCAUGGGAGACUGAAGCUGACAGAGCUGCAGCAGUUAGCAGGUUUCACCCUCAGAGACCACCAGGGGUUCAUGUUGAGGCAUUUUCAGUUUUUUUUUUUUUUUUGCCAUAGACACUGUCAGCACAAUCUGCAGUUACACUAACAAAAAUGCUGCAAAAAACAAAGAAUUAUGGAAAAAUUACACAUGGACUAACAUAGAGGAGGAUCUACACAAGUUUUUUACAUCAUGUUUUACAUCAUGCAUCAUUUACAUCAUGUUUUUUUUGUAGUGGCAUAAAUAAAAAGUGACAUUUGUGAGACUAUACAGUGUUUUGUAAAUAAUUUUACAAAGAACACCUGAGCCAUUGCCUGCAUUUUGAUGUAAAUAGAGGUAAAUUACUAUGUUCUUUGUUAAAAAUUUGCAUAUGUUCUGAAGUUUACAAUUUUUAUUUGAAGUUUAAGUUUUAAAAACAGUUCAUCACACAUAUUUGUGGUUUUCACAGUAAAAACGUUACUUUUUUCCACUCGGAUUUUAUGUUUUGUGUGUGAAUUUGGGUCCAAUGUGUAAAUAUAGUAUGUCAAAAUGAUAAAAUAACUGUAAAUUGACACAGGUGAGGUUGUGCUGAAAAAAAUGAUACCAGGCAAGGCAAGGUAAAAAUUUUGUAAGAGGAAAUAUAAAGGUAAAAUCUAAAGUAGUCAAAAACGGCCAAUAGUGACUCACAGACUCCAUAGACAAGUCCCUUUGGCGCCACUCAGUGGGCAAAACUACUUUGUCUACUGUAAUGUAUAUUUGGGUCAUCUUUGGCGCCCCCUAAAACGUAAACCGUGGGGUGCAGCGUCAUGAUUUUUACAACUUUGAAUGGCCAUGGAGUGUAGAUUGGCCUGAGCAAAUUUGGUGUCAGUGGGACGAAAGCCUUAGGAGGAGUUAGCGAAAUUCCAAUGUGUGCGAAUCGGCAAAAAAUGCAAAAUAGCCCUUUUACCGUACAUUAUACAGAUACGCGCUCUUUGACUUUUUCGUAGAUCUAAUUGAGAUACACAUGAUUGUCAAUUUUUGUGUCAUUUUGCCAAAGCGUACAGGCGUGACAGUCAACAAUGUGUAUUUUCACCUUAGGGGACAAGAAAAAAUGGACUUUUUUCUCCUGCCAUGGGGGGGCGCUCUUUUAGGAAGUAAAAAUUCCUUCACAAAUGUGUUGAUGGCUGGACAUUGCAUCAUCCUAGAAAACUUGGAGGCCAGUGAGGACAAAAAUAAAAAGUUAUAAGACUUUUAAAAAUGUGGAUUUUUGGGUUAUCUUUGGCGCCCCCUAGAACGUAAACCGUAGGGUGCAGCGUCAUGAUUUGAAUAACUUUUAAUGGCCAUGGGGUGUAAUUUGGCCUGAGCAAAUGUGGUGCCGGUGGAACGAAAGCCUUCGGAGGAGUUAGCGAAAUUCCAAUGUGUGCGAAUCGGCAAAAAAUGCGGAAUAACCCUUUAACCGUACAUUAGACAGAUACGCGCGCAUGGACUUUUUUGUAGAUCUUAUUGAGAUACAUGUGUGUGUCAAUUUUUGUGUCAUUUUGACAAAGCGUACAGGCGUGACACUCAACAAUGUGUAUUUUCACCUUAGGGGACAAGAAAAAAUGGACUUUUUUCUCCUGCCAUGGGGGGGCGCUCUUUUGGGGAGUAAAAAUUCCUUCACAAAUGUGUUGAUGGCUGGACAUUGCAUCAUCCUAGAAAACUUGGAGGCCAGUGAGGGCAAAAAUAAAAAGUUAUAAGACUUUUAAAAAUGUGGAUUUUAGGGUUAUCUUUGGCGCCCCCUAGAACCUAAACCGUGGGGUGCAGCGUCAUGAUUUGAAUAACUUUUAAUGGCCAUGGGGUGUAGAUUGGCCUGAGCAAAUGUGGUGCCGGUGGAACGAAAGCCUUCGGAGGAGUUAGCGAAAUUCCAAUGUGUGCGGAUCGGCAAAAAAUGCGAAAUAACCCUUUAACCGUACAUUUGACAGAUACGCCCGCACUGACUUUUUUGUAGAUCUUAUUGAGAUACAUGUGUGUGUCAAUUUUUGUGUCAUUUUGACAAAGCGUACAGGCGUGACAGUCAAUAGUGUGAAUUUUCACCUUAGGGGGCGCUAUGGAGCCAUUUUGCAUUUUCUUGUUUGGGCGACUUCGGAAUAUCGAAUUUUUCACCAGGCCCGGUCGUCCUGCCAAAUUUCCUGAGUUUUCGCCAGUGGGAAGUGGGCCAUUUUCCAGUUCAAAGGGGAGGAAAAAGAAGAAAGAAAGAAAGAAAGAAACAAAGAAAAACCCCUUGGGGAAUAAUAGGGCUCUCGCAGCUGCUUAGCAGCUACGCUCGGGCCCUAACUAGGGCCCCGGUGGGGCACUGUCGGGCCCGAGCCGCAUCGCACCACCCCCAGCGCGACCGCCUCCACCUCCCGAUCGCGUCACACUCAAGGUCCAAAGAUGGUGUGCGCACUUGUCUGUGGUCAUUUCCCAUUAUAAUGAAUGGGAAGCGCAGUUUCUACCAAAACACUCGCUGCAGACAAACUACAUGUCCUAUUUGAAAAAAGUCUGGACCAUGAGUGAGGGCACAAACAUAGCUAGGAUAUAUCCAAACGGCAAGUUGCUCCUCGUUACGGUGUUGCCAGGAGAGCGAUGCGAUUGAGCCAUUGAGUGAUGGGCAGGAAAAACUUGACUGUUUCUCCUGCCAUGGGGGGUGGGGGAUGGGGGGGGAUGUGGAUUCUUUUAAGAAAGUGGAUAUUUGGGUCAUCUUUGGCGCCCCCUAGAACGUAAACCGUGGGGUGCAGCGUCAUGAUUUUUACAACUUUGAAUGGCCAUGGGGUGUAGAUUGGCCUGAGAAAAUUUGGUGUCAGUGGGACGAAAGCCUUAGGAGGAGUUUGCGACAUUCCAAUGUGUGCGAAUCGGCAAAAAAUGCAAAAUAGCCCUUUAACCGUACAUUUGACAGAUACGCGCGCAUUGACUUUUUCGUAGAUCUUAUUGAGAUACACGUGAUUGUCAAAUUUUGUGUCAAUAUGACAAAGCGUACAGGCGUGACACUCAACAAUGUAAAUUUUCACCUUAGGGGACAAGAAAAAAUGGACUUUUUUCUCCUGCCAUGGGGGGGCGCUCUUUUGGGGAGUAAAAAUUCCUUCACAAAUGUGUUGAUGGCUGGACAUUGCAUUAUCCUAGAGAACUUGGAGGCCAGUGAGGACAAAAAUAAAAAGUUAUAAGACUUUUAAAUAUGUGGAUUUUAUGGUUAUCUUUGGCGCCCCCUAGAACCUAAACCGUGGGGUGCAGCGUCAUGAUUUGUACAACUUUUAAUGGCCAUGGGGUGUAGAUUGGCCUGAGCAAAUGUGGUGCCGGUGGAACGAAAGCCUUCGGAGGAGUUAGCGAAAUUCCAAUGUGUGCGGAUCGGCAAAAAAUGCGCAAUAAUCCUUUAACCGUACAUUUGACAGAUACGCCCGCACUGACUUUUUUGUAGAUCUUAUUGAGAUACAUGUGUGUGUCAAUUUUUGUGUCAUUUUGACAAAGCGUACAGGCGUGACAGUCAAUAGUGUGAAUUUCCACCUUAGGGGGCGCUAUGGAGCCAUUUUGCAUUUUAUUGUUUGGGCGACUUCAGAAUAUCGAAUUUUUCACCAGGCCCGGUCGUCCUGCCAAAUUUCAUGAGUUUUCGCCAGUGGGAAGUGGGCCAUUUUCCAGUUUAAAGCGGAGGAAAAAUAAUAACUAGGGCCCCGUUGGGGCACUGGCGGGCCCGAGCCGUGUCACGCCGCCCCCAGCGCGACCGCCUCCCCCACCCGAUCGCGUCACACUCAAGGUCCAAAGAUGGUGUGCGCACUUGUUUGUGGUCAUUUACCAUUAUAAUGAACGGGAGGCGCAGUUUCUACCAAAGCGCUCGCUGCAGAAAAACUCCAUGUCCUAUUUGAAAAAAGUCUGGACCAUGAGUGAGGGCACAAACACAGCUAAGAUAUAUCCAAAUGGCAAGUUGCUCCUCCUUUCGCUUUUGCCGAGAGAGCAGUGCGUUUGAGCCAUUGAAUGAUGAACAGGAAAAACUUGACUUUAUUCUCCUGCCAUGGGGGGCGCUCUUUUAACGAGAAAAAACUCCUUCACAAAUGUGUUGAUGGCUGGACAUUGCAUCAUCCUAGAAAACAUGGAGGCCAGUGAGGACAAAAAUAAAAAGUUAUAAGACUUUUAAAUAUGUGGAUUUUAGGGUUAUCUUUGGCGCCCCCUAGAACCUAAACCGUGGGGUGCAGCGUCAUGAUUUGAAUAACUUUUAAUGGCCAUGGGGUGUAGAUUGGCCUGAGCAAAUGUGGUGCCGGUGGAACAAAAGCCUUCGGAGGAGUUAGCGAAAUUCCAA
Molecule: non-coding RNA, 10150 nt
Organism: Xyrichtys novacula (pearly razorfish)
Lineage: Eukaryota; Metazoa; Chordata; Actinopteri; Labriformes; Labridae
Source: the annotation of a GenBank genome assembly